Molecule: non-coding RNA, 828 nt
Organism: Callithrix jacchus (white-tufted-ear marmoset)
Lineage: Eukaryota; Metazoa; Chordata; Mammalia; Primates; Cebidae
Source: RefSeq, a predicted model, not a curated record
GGCGCGGCGCGGCCCCGCUGCCGCUUACGUAACCGCCACCGGCGCGCUGGCCUCGGGCGGGUCGGGGUCCUCUCGCCGGCUCGGGCCGGGGACGCGCAGCCGGGAGUCUCCUGGGCCGCUGGACUCCGCGGCCUGAAACGGCGCCGGCUUGGGGGGCGCGUGCCGGCGGCCCUGUCUCAGGUGGUGGGUGGCCGAGCCUCCUGGGACAAACGGGCUGCGCUCGUUUGAACCAUGCUGACACCGCGGGGUGGGGACUCGAACCCCCGUUUCGCAGUUCAGGAGCCUGUCGUCCGAGAGGUUUGUAUAUUCCAUGCUCACAGAGCUCCGUGCACAUACGCAAGCUUCCCUGCAAUGGAUUCCUGGAAGUGAGAAGAGCCUGCAGAUGAUCAGUGUUGCUGGGAACUCAAAUUUCCUUCCAGAACGACCCAUUAUGGCACCACCACACGCAAGAGCCGCUCUUCUCCACCUGACCAGUGCUGAGUGUGAUCAGUCCUGUGAAUUUUUGGCAACCUGAUGGGCCAGAUAAUCUUGUCCUUUGCAUUUUUCUGAAGCGAAUGAGGUCUGACCUCUUUCUACAAGUUCACGAUGUUUGGCAUUUCUCCCUGCGGGAGCGGCCUGGGCAGUCUUUGUGCUUAGUCUGUCUCUGCCCAAAAGUUAUUACCACUCAUCUUUCAUUGAAUUUUCUAGGACUACCACAAAAUGUAAAAAGAAAAAAAAACUGAAGUAACAGACUUGCUUAUUUUGUUCCUGACUUUAAGUGGAAUGACGCUGGCAUUUUGGGUUUUAUAUGACUGAGGAUAUUAAUAAAACCAGCUGUGUAACCCACAA